RNAcentral lists this ribosomal RNA (439 nucleotides) under uncultured marine eukaryote. Its description in RNAcentral is "partial 18S ribosomal RNA". It matches the Rfam family "Eukaryotic small subunit ribosomal RNA", at positions 125 to 565 of the family's 1831-position model. The record is from RNAcentral.
UGUCGUUCUUUACUACUUGGAUAUCCACGGUAAUUCUAGAGCUAAUACAUGCGUCCAGACCCGACUUUUGCGAAAGGGUGGGCCUUAUUAAACACUCACCCCCCCCGGCUUGCCCGGUUUCAAGGUGAUUGAUGGUAAUCGAACGAAUCGCAUGCUUCGCGAUGCUUAUUCCUUCCAGUUUCCGAACCAAUCACUUUCCAACGGAAGGGAAUGGGCCUACCGGGGUUUUAACGGGAAACGAAAAAUUAGGGUUGGAUUCCGAAAAGGAACCCGGAAAAACGGUUACCCCUUCUAAGGAAGGCGCCAGGCCCCCAAUUUACCCAUCCUGGACCAAGGAGGGAAGGGAAAAAAAAAACCAAAAUAAGGCUUUUUUUCUUGUUAUUGGAAUGAACACCAUUUCAACACCUUGUCCAAUAUUCGUUGGGGGGGCAGGUCAGAU